GUCCCAAAGCCAAAAUUAUGCUACUCUCUAGCUCAGUCUCUGCUUUGGAGCAUAUCGGAACUCGGAAGCAGAUCGGAUAGGAAACUUCUUCAUCACUCUGGGUCUUUCUCUCUGCAGCUCUGCGCUGGCUCAGUUGUUGUCUCUCCUUCUCUUAUACAUAUUACUUUGUCUUAGCAGCUCAGAACCAGAUCGGAACCGGCGGCUUCAGCUUCUUCAUCGCUCAGUAGCUCUUGCUCUUUCUUUCUCUCUGAAGACUGAAACCAGAUCUUUCCAAACCAAACGAAAACCCCCCAAAGCCUUCUCUCUCAGCCUCUCUCACAUCUAGCCCUAAAUCGCUCUUCGCUGGCUUGCUUGUACCUUUUGCCAUGCUGCUUGAAUUUCUUUCUAUCUCUGCCUCUCUGGACAUUGACUAUUUGCUUCUGCAUUUUUGUUCACAUUUGUAAAUUUCAAGGCACAUAUUUGCAAGAUUAUAUUCUUUUGUUUGAAAAAUGUGAUGUUCUAGUUGAAAGAGGUUCAACAUUUGCACGGAACACUUCGCAUUUCAGGGCUUCAUAAUAUUGUUCAUGCUGAUGAUGAUUUGCUGGCCAAUAUGAGUGACAAGAAGUAUCUGAACGAGCUAAUUUUGCAAUGGGGACCAAGUAGACCAAGUGUACCCAAUGAUUCACAAACUAACAGAGAAGUGCUUGAAAAGUUCCAACCUUGUAGAAAUCUAAAAAAGCUCAGAAUUUAAUCAAUUUAUUGUUAUGGAAGCACAAGAUUUCCAGGUUGGUUAGGAGAUUCUUCCUCUACUCUAGUAUGUAUUGGUCUUUACAAAUGUAUAAAUUAUUAAUUACAUAAAUAAAAGCUAUAAAACGUGGCUUCCUCUA
Molecule: long non-coding RNA, 866 nt
Organism: Rosa chinensis
Lineage: Eukaryota; Viridiplantae; Streptophyta; Magnoliopsida; Rosales; Rosaceae
Exons: 2
Source: RefSeq, a predicted model, not a curated record